GCGCCAAAAGUCCAGGCUGUGAAUCGACACUCGUGUUGAAUUGUGGAAUGCCGGUCGGUUUGUUCAAGUUGUGGAUUAAGUCCUCUGGAAUGGGGCAGCAGAGAGGGUGAUACUCCCGUUCGUCUGCAACUGUGAAAGCUGAUCCAAGAGUCGAGUUGUUUGGGAUUGCAGCUCUAAGUGGGUGGUAAAUUCCAUCCAAGACUAAAUACUGGUGGGAGACCGAUAGCGAACAAGUACCGUGAGGGAAAGAUGCAAAGCCGCGCGAGAGCGCUGUCAAAGAGUACCUGAAAUUGCUGAAAAGGAAGCGAAGGAAACCAGUGUGAGCCUACCUGCACUUCCCCAAAUGCUUGUGUUUGGGGCGC
Molecule: ribosomal RNA, 362 nt
Filed under: Surirella sp.1 ECR-2011
Lineage: Eukaryota; Bacillariophyta; Bacillariophyceae; Surirellales; Surirellaceae
Description: eukaryotic LSU rRNA
Rfam family: Eukaryotic large subunit ribosomal RNA
Source: RNAcentral